AGGAACCACAAGCAACCGCGAUUGCUUCAGUAACGGCGAGUGAAUGGGCAACACAUCUCAGCCUGAAGUGAAUCCCAACUGCACUGCCUCGGCAGAUGCGUUCGGCUCUCCUGGGUUCAACACACCCUGUGGGCUGUGGACUGGAUGGCAGUGUUCGGGCUUGGUCAACCACCAGGAAGGGCCCUGGAAAGGCCCACCAGAGCAGGAUACUGUCCUUUACAACCAAGUGUGUGGUGGACCAGCCUGGAUGUUGCUGUCUGGAUCCUGGAGUAGAGUGGCUUGGGACUGCAGCUUGAAGUGCAAGGUAUAUCCCUUGCAAGGCACAAUACUGACAUGGGACCGAUAGAGCACAAGUAGAGUGAUCGAAGGAUGCAAAGGACUCUGCAAAGAGGGUUAAAAGCCCCUGAAGCCUCAGCAGGAACGGCGGUGAGUGGUGCUUUGCUUCCAGCCCAAGGGAACCAUGCCCCUGGACCCAGCUGGGGUUUGAGUGUGACCAAGAGUUGCACCUGCCACAGUUGGGACUGAGGUGGUGUGGGUCUGAGUGAACCCCAAGUGGCUGCUGUCCCUGGCCUCCUCCAAGGUCAGGACAGGUUGCUGACACAUACCAGGUGCCCUUGGGCCAGCCCAAAGCUGGUCACUGAGCUCUGUCUUCAAGGAUGGGAUGCAAUCGUGACAGCCAAGUGGUGGCAGCAAGCCUGCCCGGGCCUGAGGGUCAUCCGAGACCAAGGGUUGAUGCUGACUGAAGUGGCACAGUGGGUCCUCUGUUGAGGCGUGCCCCCCAAGCUCUGGUAUCAAAGCAGUGCUGACUAUCUCCUGCUGUGUCUACGGACAUGGCAGUGGCUGUGUUGGGUCCUGGUGGCGCUGAUGGUUGCAUGGUGGCUGCACCAUUCUGAUGGUGGUCCCGUGUGGCUGUUGGUGCUCCAGACUCAGUGCAGUCAGAAGGCAGCUGAGCCUGGUACUUGAGUGCCACUCACUGCCCGUCUUGAAACACGGACCAAGGAGUCUAUGGAGCUUGCAUGUUGGACAGCCUUCUGUCAAACUGGAGUGCAUGGUGAAGGCAAAGCCUACCCCUGAUGAGUGCCAAGGCUUGAGUCUCCCACAGUGGAGUGAGAACUCUGACCUGGACAAGGCAGCCGAUUGGCAUGUGGAACGUCUGUGCCCAAGUUGGCUUGAGGUGAGUUGAGUCCUGCCAGGACACAUCAGAGAGAUCAUCACAGCAGAGAAGAGUGAGCUCUAGCACUUGAGUGCUUUGACUGCAAGGGGCACCAGUCCCAAAGUCCAGUGGACAGGGUUCUGAGUGAUUGCAAGGUCCAUGGGACCCGAAAGGUGGUGAACUAUACCGUGCUAUGAUGAAGCCGUGGGAAACUGCGGUGGAGGUCAGUCGCUGUUCUGACGUGCAAAUUGUGUAGCCUGAGUGCGGCAUAGGGGUGAAAGGCCAAUCGAGCCACCUAGUAGC
Molecule: ribosomal RNA, 1456 nt
Filed under: Strombomonas eurystoma
Lineage: Eukaryota; Euglenozoa; Euglenophyceae; Euglenales; Euglenaceae
Description: partial large subunit ribosomal RNA
Rfam family: Eukaryotic large subunit ribosomal RNA
Source: RNAcentral